GCUAAGAAUCUUCCGCAAUGGGGGGAACCCUGACGGAGCGACGCCGCGUGGACGAUGAAGGCCGUAAGGUUGUAAAGUCCUUUUGCGGGCGAAGAAUAAGGAAGGGAGUGGAAAGCCCUUCUGAUGACGUUAGCCCGCGAAUAAGCCCCGGCCAAUUACGUGCCAGCAGCCGCGGUAAUACGUAUGGGGCGAGCGUUGUUCGGAGUUAUUGGGCGUAAAGGGCGUGUAGGCGGCCCGACAAGUCUGGUGUGAAAUCGCAGGGCUCAACCCUGCGGGUGCGCUGGAAACUGACGGGCUAGAGUUCCGGGGGGGAAGCUGGAAUUCCUGGUGUAGGAGUGAAAUCUGUAGAGAUCAGGAAGAACACCGGUGGCGAAGGCGAGCUUCUAUUCGAGGACUGACGCUGAGGCGCGAAAGCGUGGGGAGCAAACAGGAUUAGAUACCCCAGUAGUCC
This 451-nucleotide ribosomal RNA is filed under the name uncultured bacterium. RNAcentral's name for it is "bacterial SSU rRNA". It matches the Rfam family "Bacterial small subunit ribosomal RNA", at positions 354 to 796 of the family's 1533-position model. The record is from RNAcentral.